UGAUCAUUCCUUUAACAUUUUCACUUGAUCAAUUUAAAAAACAAAAAAGAAGUCCAACAAUAAGAGUAUCUCUAUCAAGCUAGUUAUUUCAAACUUUUUUCCAAAAUUUGGAGAAUACCUUCAAAAAUUCUUUCUACAGAAAACCCCAGUUCUUCGGUGGAGAAGCAAGAGACUAACGACCAUGCGCCUAACCUGAGUUGCAAGAGGCGGCGAGGCUGAGACGAUGGCGGCGAGAAGAGGUCGGAGGCGAGCGUGUACGAUGAAGAGGACGACGAUGGAGCUCCACCCCGUUUGCAGCUUUUAGCCUUCAAAGCUGUCAUGGAGACCCUAGACGUUGAGGAGGACGAUGUGUUUUUUCCUUUGGCUAUUAGGAUUUUGGUUUAGAUCUGUUGGGUUUUUAUGCUUUACUUGGGUUUUGAGUCAUUUGAGCUGAUUUUAGUUCUAGAUCUAAUUGGUCUUCUGGGUUGUACGUGUAUAAGAUCUGUUCAUAACAGCUUGGUUUUUUCUGUGGUUUCGAAGGGUUGCAGCUCAAGUGCUCGACCUUUUUCCUGAAUGGGGACACUAGAUGGGUAUUAAAGCAACAUCCAGUUGUUUUGUUUGAUAUUUGUCA
Long non-coding RNA from Alnus glutinosa, 610 nucleotides. RefSeq lists it as uncharacterized. NCBI's taxonomy places the organism in Eukaryota, Viridiplantae, Streptophyta, Magnoliopsida, Fagales, Betulaceae. The record is from RefSeq and is a predicted model, not a curated record. The transcript is spliced from 2 exons.